GCUGCCAGUUGCAACGGGUGAAGCCGGGCACUCUGGCGGGACUGCCAUCGACAAGAUGGAGGAAGGUGGGGAUGACGUCAAGUCAUCAUGGCCCUUAUGUCCAGGGCGACACACGUGCUACAAUGGCCGGCACAGCGGGAAGCGAGGCAGUGAUGCCGAGCGGAUCCCUUAAAGCCGGUCUCAGUUCGGAUUGAAGUCUGCAACUCGACUUCAUGAAGCUGGAAUCGCUAGUAAUCGCAGAUCAGCCAAGCUGCGGUGAAUACGUUCCCGGGCCUU
RNAcentral lists this ribosomal RNA (276 nucleotides) under uncultured Thermanaerovibrio sp. RNAcentral's name for it is "partial 16S ribosomal RNA". It matches the Rfam family "Bacterial small subunit ribosomal RNA", at positions 1107 to 1382 of the family's 1533-position model. The record is from RNAcentral. Lineage: Bacteria; Thermotogati; Synergistota; Synergistia; Synergistales; Synergistaceae.